This 424-nucleotide ribosomal RNA is filed under the name uncultured bacterium. RNAcentral describes it as "bacterial SSU rRNA". It matches the Rfam family "Bacterial small subunit ribosomal RNA", at positions 358 to 773 of the family's 1533-position model. The record is from RNAcentral.
AGAGGCUUCGGCAAUGGUGGAAACCCUGACCGAGCGACGCCGCGUGAGGGAUGACGCCCUUCGGGGUGUAAACCUCUUUUCUGAGGGAAGCAACCCGUGGCGGUGAACCCUCGUCGCGGCUGACGGUACCUCAGCAAUCAGCUCCGGCUAACUCCGUGCCAGCAGCCGCGGUAACACGGGGGGAGCAAACGUUGUUCGGAAUCACGGGGCGUAAAGGGCGCGUAGGCGGCCGCGUAAGUGGUGUGUGAAAUGCCCUGGCUCAACCAGGGAAUAGCGCUCCAAACUGCGGGGCUUGAGGGCAGUAGAGGAAGCUGGAAUUCCAGGUGUAGCGGUGAAAUGCGUAGAUAUCUGGAGGAACACCGUUGGCGAAGGCGAGCUUCUGGGCUGUCCCUGACGCUGAGGCGCGAAAGCUGGGGGAGCAAAC